GUUAGGACUUUUUUCUUAUAAAUGUGUCCCCUUUGGUCAACAUUGUAAGCUGAUUAUUUUUCAUAUUACUGAAUUAAAACUCCAGAUAAGAGUUCUUCUACCCUUUUGCCAUUUUUAUUUGUUUCAUACAUCUUUCUUCUCUCUUUUUAUCAAAACAUGGUUUAGGCUGCAUCAGUUGGUAUCAGAGUCCAAUCAAUCCUCGAGCAGUGAUUCUUUCUUACA
RNAcentral lists this long non-coding RNA (222 nucleotides) under Elaeis guineensis (African oil palm). Its description in RNAcentral is "long non-coding RNA (EGUI_LNC048534)". Lineage: Eukaryota; Viridiplantae; Streptophyta; Magnoliopsida; Arecales; Arecaceae. The record is from RNAcentral.